AACGAUAGCACACACUGCAGUCGAAGGUAGAGGGGGCAACCCCUUGAGAGUGGCGAACGGGUGAGUAAUAUAUCGGAACGUGCCCAGUCGUGGGGGAUAACGUAGCGAAAGUUACGCUAAUACCGCAUACGAUCUACGGAUGAAAGCGGGGGAUCGCAAGACCUCGCGCGACUGGAGCGGCCGAUAUCAGAUUAGGUAGUUGGUGGGGUAAAGGCUCACCAAGCCAACGAUCUGUAGCUGGUCUGAGAGGACGACCAGCCACACUGGAACUGAGACACGGUCCAGACUCCUACGGGAGGCAGCAGUGGGGAAUUUUGGACAAUGGACGCAAGUCUGAUCCAGCCAUUCCGCGUGCAGGAUGAAGGCCCUCGGGUUGUAAACUGCUUUUGUACGGAACGAAAAGGUCUCUCCUAAUACGAGAGGCUCAUGACGGUACCGUAAGAAUAAGCACCGGCUAACUACGUGCCAGCAGCCGCGGUAAUACGUAGGGUGCAAGCGUUAAUCGGAAUUACUGGGCGUAAAGCGUGCGCAGGCGGUUAUAUAAGACAGAUCUGAAAUCCCCGGGCUCAACCUGGGAACUGCAUUUGUGACUGUAUAGCUAGAGUACGGUAGAGGGGGAUGGAAUUCCGCGUGUAGCAGUGAAAUGCGUAGAUAUGCGGAGGAACACCGAUGGCGAAGGCAAUCCCCUGGACCUGUACUGACGCUCAUGCACGAAAGCGUGGGGAGCAAACAGGAUUAGAUACCCUGGUAGUCCACGCCCUANACGAUGUCAACUGGUUGUUGGGUCUUAACUGACUCAGUAACGAAGCUAACGCGUGAAGUUGACCGCCUGGGGAGUACGGCCGC
This 846-nucleotide ribosomal RNA is filed under the name uncultured beta proteobacterium. Its description in RNAcentral is "bacterial SSU rRNA". It matches the Rfam family "Bacterial small subunit ribosomal RNA", at positions 43 to 889 of the family's 1533-position model. The record is from RNAcentral. Lineage: Bacteria; Pseudomonadati; Pseudomonadota; Betaproteobacteria.